CUGAGCAGAAAGCAAAGUAGAGGCCUGAGUUUCCCUUUCAGCAGGGAGCCAGUUGCCAUGGUGAGGCAGAAGCCUUCUCCAGACUCCAAGAGCAGAGUGGUUCUGAUUGGUUCCAAUAGGCCUGGCACUCCAGGAUUAGAGCUGCAGUCUAUCCAGUCACAGGCUCCAGGCAUCCAGCUCCAAGGGCGGUCGGGCGGGGCCGUGCCUCCUCCGCCUCAACAGUUGUCUCCCAGAGAUGGGGUCCCUGAUAGAUUGCCCAUGCUCCUGCAGACAGCCUCAUACCCGUGCACAUACUGGCAUCACUAAUUACUCCGUGGGUUAAAAGAAACUCGGGCUUGAUGCUUGGAACAUGCUCCUCUCUUGGUCCACUUGCCCUCUCUCCUCUUCCCUGUCUCUUUUCUCUUCCUCUCUCACAGACCACCCUCCCUCCUCAUGGCCUGCUUCUAUCUGAACGCUUUAUGCUUUCAGAUGCCCCUGGCUGCACCUUCCUCAUAUCUACAAUAAAAUUCUUUUCCUCAUCUACACCUUGCCGUGGUCUUCUCCUCAUUUCAUUCAGUGUUGAACACGUGUAAUCCCCAAACUGAGGAGGCAGAGGCAGGAGCAUUGUUGAGAGAUCCUAUUUGAAACACAACCAAACUCUCUACGUGUAGCUAAGUGGUAGGACACUUGCGUAGCAUGCACCAUGUGCUGGGAUUGAGAGCACCAGCAGUGAGCAAGAAAGAAGAAAAGAGAGAGAAAGAAAACAAGGGAGAGAAAAGAGAGAGAGGAGGGGAAACUUCUACCAUACAGGCU
This is a long non-coding RNA of Mus musculus (house mouse), 792 nucleotides long. RefSeq annotates it as predicted gene, 42196. The record is from RefSeq and is a predicted model, not a curated record. Lineage: Eukaryota; Metazoa; Chordata; Mammalia; Rodentia; Muridae. The transcript is spliced from 3 exons.